GACGAACGCUGGCGGCGUGCUUAACACAUGCAAGUCGAACGGAAAGGCCCUGCUUUUGUGGGGUGCGCGAGGGGCGAACGGGUGAGUAACACGUGAGUAACCUGCCACUGACUUUGGGAUAACUUCAGGAAACUGGGGCUAAUACCGGAUAGGAGCUACUGCUGCAUGGUGGGGGUGGGAAAGUUUCGGCGGUUGGGGAUGGACUCGCGGCUUAUCAGCUUGUUGGUGGGGUAGUGGCAUACCAAGGCUUGGACGGGUAGCCGGCCUGCGAGGGUGACCGGCCACAUUGGGACUGAGCUACGGCCCAGCCUCCUACCGGAGGCAACAGUGGAGAAUAUUGCACAGUAGGCGGAAGCCUGAUGCAGCACCGCCGCGUGCGGGAUGUCGGCCUUCGGGUUGUGAACCGCUUUCGCCUGUGCCGAAGCGUGAGUGACGGUAAUGGGUAAAUAAGCACCGGCUAACUACGUG
Molecule: ribosomal RNA, 468 nt
Filed under: uncultured bacterium
Lineage: Bacteria
Description: partial 16S ribosomal RNA
Rfam family: Bacterial small subunit ribosomal RNA
Source: RNAcentral